AACGAACGCUGGCGGCAGGCCUCAUACAUGCAAGUCGAGCGAUUAAAGCUCCUUCGGGAGUGUAUAAAGCGGCGAACGGGUGAGUAACAGGUGGAUGAUCUGCCUCCCGGUGGGGGAUAACGGCUGGAAACGGCCGCUAAUACCGCAUUCGAUUGUCGCACUGCGGUGCGAUAAAGAAAGGCGCUUUACAGCGUCGCCGGGAGAUGAGUCCGCCCCCAUUAGGCUAGUUGGCGGGAUAAUAGCCCACCAAGGCUUCGAUGGGUAGCCGAGCUGAGAGGUUGAUCGGCCACACUGGAACUGAGACACGGUCCAGACACCUACGGGUGGCUG
RNAcentral lists this ribosomal RNA (330 nucleotides) under uncultured Candidatus Sumerlaeota bacterium. RNAcentral's name for it is "bacterial SSU rRNA". It matches the Rfam family "Bacterial small subunit ribosomal RNA", at positions 29 to 351 of the family's 1533-position model. The record is from RNAcentral. Lineage: Bacteria; Candidatus Sumerlaeota.